GCGAGCAUAUUUGACUUUGCCCACAGUCAAUUAUCUUUCCAAGCCUCCGCUGGGGAAUCCCAUUCAGAUCUCAGCAUUCUAGCUGCCGGCCCAGAAAGUCACGGGACAUCAUAAGCUGUUUCUCAAAACCCAAGAGGAUCAGGAGUAUGGCCUGGGAAUGUCUGGGGUUUCUUCAUCACUGACAUGAACGCCGAGAUUCUCUGCACCAUCAGGCUGGGCCCGAACGUGCAUUGCUGAGGUCCGUGUCCGGCCAGCUUGGCUCCACAAGGUUGGCUGCGACUCUGUAAUCCCUCCCCAAGAAGAGCAACAGCUGAUCCUCAUCACGACCCUGUGUUUGGUGUGUGGAUUCUUGCAUUAGUGACAUGACAUUUAUUUGCUUGGUGAGCCUUUUACCUGCAAGGUUAACAAGUUUGACUCACAUCUUGGAAACAUUCCAACUUGAAACACUGGGAGUGGUGCUUCUCUGACUCCCUGCGCACCCAGAGAGGAGGUCCCAGUUCUGUGGAGAUCUGGACUCAGGAGGUCUGGGCUGGGGUCCUUUCUCACAAACGAGCUGGUCACACUGAUGCUGCUCAGCUGUGGGUCACGUUUGCAGGAGCAAAGAAUUGUCCACAGGAACUCGAAGAUGAGGAUAUGCUUGCUCAUUCAUUUAUGUUCCGAUUCAACAAUAAUGAAGAAGUGCCUAAAACAUCCUCAGCACUGCAGUGAUGACUGUGAGAAGGCUGACACCCUUAAGUGUGCAGGGAGGCCAAGAGGACACAGUUGCAAGCAAACAAUUGUUUGAAGAUAAUACAUAAAAACGUGUGUGCUUUGAGUGUAUCUUUUCUUAAAUCAAAUGAGAGCCUCCUAGGCUUAAAUUUGGUGUCAAGUCUGAAAAUGCAGUUUCUAAUAAAAAAUGUAUGUCUA
Molecule: long non-coding RNA, 906 nt
Filed under: Bos mutus (wild yak)
Lineage: Eukaryota; Metazoa; Chordata; Mammalia; Artiodactyla; Bovidae
Description: lncRNA (ENSBMUG00000015824.1)
Source: RNAcentral